AACGAACGCUGGCGGCAUGCCUAACACAUGCAAGUCGAACGAGACCUUCGGGUCUAGUGGCGCACGGGUGCGUAACGCGUGGGAACCUGCCCUUAGGUUCGGAAUAACUCCCCGAAAGGGGUGCUAAUACCGGAUAAUGUCUUCGGACCAAAGAUUUAUCGCCUUUGGAUGGGCCCGCGUUGGAUUAGCUAGUUGGUAGGGUAAAAGCCUACCAAGGCGACGAUCCAUAGCUGGUCUGGGAGGAUGAUCAGCCACCCUGGGACUGAGACACGGCCCAGACUCCUACGGGAGGCAGCAGUGGGGAAAAUUGGACAAGGGGCGAAAGCCUAAUCCAGCAAUGCCGGGGGAGUGAUGAGGCCCUUAGGGUUUAAAAGCUCUUUUACCCGGGAUGAAAAGGACGGGACCGGGAGAAAAAGCCCCGGAAAACCCCGU
RNAcentral lists this ribosomal RNA (432 nucleotides) under uncultured bacterium. RNAcentral's name for it is "partial 16S ribosomal RNA". It matches the Rfam family "Bacterial small subunit ribosomal RNA", at positions 29 to 506 of the family's 1533-position model. The record is from RNAcentral.